CGUUCUUAGUUUUUCACACAGUGCAUUUUUAGGAUCAGUGUAUUGUGGAAACGGCGAUGGCUUUUCAGACGAUUUUCGUAUUUGUGGCUGCAGUUUGUCUCGUUUUAUCAGUUAAUGCAGCAGUCACUAUUGGUACAACUACCUGUACCCUGGCGGGAACUACGUGUACUGAUGGCAGCUAUUGCGACGCCGUGACACUGA
Long non-coding RNA from Dreissena polymorpha, 201 nucleotides. RefSeq lists it as uncharacterized. Lineage: Eukaryota; Metazoa; Mollusca; Bivalvia; Myida; Dreissenidae. The transcript is spliced from 3 exons. The record is from RefSeq and is a predicted model, not a curated record.